AGGGUCAUGGUCGAGAUGGCUA
Molecule: non-coding RNA, 22 nt
Filed under: Arabidopsis thaliana (thale cress)
Lineage: Eukaryota; Viridiplantae; Streptophyta; Magnoliopsida; Brassicales; Brassicaceae
Source: RNAcentral